CGUAAAGAGCUCGUAGGUGGUUUGUCGCGUUGUUCGUGAAAUCUCACGGCUUAACUGUGAGCGUGCGGGCGAUACGGGCAGACUAGAGUACUGCAGGGGAGACUGGAAUUCCUGGUGUAGCGGUGGAAUGCGCAGAUAUCAGGAGGAACACCGGUGGCGAAGGCGGGUCUCUGGGCAGUAACUGACGCUGAGGAGCGAAAGCGUGGGGAGCGAACAGGAUUAGAUACCCUGGUAGUCCACGCCGUAAACGGUGGGUACUAGGUGUGGGUUUCCUUCCUUGGGAUCCGUGCCGUAGCUAACGCAUUAAGUACCCCGCCUGGGGAGUACGGCCGCAAGGCUAAAACUCAAAGGAAUUGACGGGGGCCCGCACAAGCGGCGGAGCAUGUGGAUUAAUUCGAUGCAACGCGAAGAACCUUACCUGGGUUUGACAUGCACAGGACGCGUCUAGAGAUAGGCGUUCCCUUGUGGCCUGUGUGCAUGACUGUCGUCAGCUCGUGUCGUGAGAUGUUGGGUUAAGUCCCGCAACGAGCGCAACCCUUGUCCCAUGUUGCCAGCGGGUACUGCCGGGGACUCGUGAGAGACUGCCGGGGUCAACUCGGAGGAAGGUGGGGAUGACGUCAAGUCAUCAUGCCCCUUAUGUCCAGGGCUUCACACAUGCUACAAUGGCCGGUACAAAGGGCUGCGAUGCCGUAAGGUUAAGCGAAUCCUUUUAAAGCCGGUCUCAGUUCGGACUGGGGUCUGCAACUCGACCCCAUGAAGUCGGAGUCGCUAGU
This 773-nucleotide ribosomal RNA is filed under the name uncultured Mycobacterium sp. RNAcentral's name for it is "bacterial SSU rRNA". It matches the Rfam family "Bacterial small subunit ribosomal RNA", at positions 559 to 1339 of the family's 1533-position model. The record is from RNAcentral. Lineage: Bacteria; Bacillati; Actinomycetota; Actinomycetes; Mycobacteriales; Mycobacteriaceae.